CAAAACUCUUCCCCUGACAGUUCAAUUAGGGCUAUGCCAGGAUUUGUACAGACUUUUGCAGAGAAAUGAGAAUCUAUCCUAUCCUUUCACUUGCGAGUCAGGAGAAAUCUGCUUAUAAAUUACUGCUGUUUGCAUCUGGGGGAUAAUUACUGCUCAAAGCUCACAGAUAAACCCAAAAUUUUAACUUAAUAAUGUCAAAAAUGUUAACUGUUUUAAAUCACAGCAGCUGUCCUGGACCUUCGCAGUCACUGAGCUGAUUUGCAGUUGUAUCAGUGUGUCAGCAUCCUUCCUGAGGUGCCCGCAGUGCAGGGGGGGACUGGCACUGAGCCCCCGCCUUCCUUCUGUGCACGGCCGUCUUAUCUGCAGAGCAACUUUCUGUUUUCUUUUCUCUCUUCAUUUCCAUAAACAAUAUGCACAAUUCUCAGAGCCAUUCAGUCAGCAAAUAAAGGCAGAGGGCUAAGUAAAUUUGCUUCACACCAAUUAUUUUUGUGAGGUCACCGAGUUAAGCAUUAAAGAAUACUGCUGCGGAUGAGCACUCGGGAACAGUGUGACUGUGGUAUGAGGUGCACAAAGCACCCAGUGCCCGGCAGAACACGACAUUUAUUGGGAAGCUUUGUUCCACGAGCUAACAGAACAAUAAUCCUUUUCAUUUAACAACUCCGCAUUACUCAUUUCCCCACGUAGCCCAGCUGCACUGUAAGCCACUUUUGUAAGUCACACCAUAGGAGAGAAAGCGAAAGAUGUGUGAUUUCAGGGGGAAAAGAAGGGAUUGCUCAGUUCCAUCGCGAGCUGAUUGUUUCUGUGCACAGCGUGAGGGAGCAAGAAGAACAGAGGGUCUCCUCAGCUUCCAGCUGCUUCUGGGUCGUGCACGAGAGCAGAGUGUGAUCCCCGUUGCAGGAGAUAUCUCAAAUGGCUGCUUUAAGCAUGUCUUACCCUGCCCACGUGCUGCACUGAUGGGCACACCAUGUCCACGAGACAAAUUCUAUUUUCCCAGGUAAAAUUCAUGCUGAAAAUAGCAUUUCUUGCCUGUGAGAAUUUAGUUUUCAGUGGUAAUUUUCUAGAAUAAACACAGAGUGUGCAGACCUGGAAUAUGUAAUCAGAUAUUUUCAGACGCCCUUACUACCACACAUCCAGUUAUCCACUUUAACAAGCUGAUAUGACACAUGAAAGCGCUGAAAUCACUCCAACAGACAUUUUUCCCUUUCUGGGUCUCCCCACCACAUCAACCCAUGGUCGUGCAGCCUUGGAGAACUGUUUACUUUACCAGAGUAGAAUAUUCCCAAAAGUCUGUGGCUAUUUCCCAAUUGUGACGAUGGCUGGGGAGGGGAUUGCGAGCUGAUGAUAACGGGAUGGAGGAGAUUAGGCAGCUAAGCCAUCCAUUUUAGUUCCAGUGAUCAGAUUUCACAGCCUUUAUCUGAAGCACUGACUGGCUGACUUUUCAAGCGAGGGUAAAAUGAAGGAGUGCAGCUAUAACCAAUAACUUAAUGCAUGUUGAUUGCCAUCAAAAAAUUGUCAUCUAUCCGAAGGUGCCUGUGUUUCUGUGCUGGUAUAUGCGUUUGAGCUGGAGAGUUUCAUCUUGUAAAUGCUUAUUCUCGUUAUCUGUAGAAUUACUUAUAGCAGAAAGCUCUGCUCCCACUUGUGAUUGCAAUCAUGGUGCUCACAGUAAGCAUCACGGCACAGGUUUAUAAAGAUCAGCAUAGAUACCAGGGACAAGGUUCUGCUUUAGGCAAACAAAAUGCUUCAGGGCUGAACAGAAAAUACUGGACUGGACCAUUAGGUAGAAAUUACUUAUCAAGAAGAAAAAAAAAUACAGUCCAGAAGAAUUCAGUCAGUGUUGCCCAGACAUUUUACAAGGAAUUGUAAAUGCUUAGUACCAUAGUUGCCAAAUACAAUGAAAUACAAUUAACUGGUAUUAAGCUUUUUAUGAUAAAAGGGACCUUUCCCUUAAGAACAGCUUUUAACGAGCAGCUUUACUUGUUUAUCCUUAGAAAGAAAAAUCUGUCCCUAUAUAUAUUUUUUACUUUAAACCUAAAAGCACGGUGUUAUACAUAUUAACGCUCUAAGAAAGCUCCCAGGAGUUUUCCAGACCUCCCAUGGGUACCCUGAGGGGAAAAACAGAGCUGCACAUGGGGAAUGUGGGGGUGCGAAGGGAAGGAAAAGUUAGUUCCAAGUGCACUGUGAUGUGUCAGAUCUCAGGAGGCAUGGGAAAAAAAAACCACAAAAAUUGUGAUUUUUUUACAAGGGAAACGGUGUAUUGAUUUGAGACCUUUAUAUCAAAAGGAGCUCAAUUAAUCUGAUUUCAGUUGGCUGUGAGUACAUCCCUACCUUUCAAAAUCAAAGCAACAACCACAGCAACAAAAUAUCAACAAAUGUACACAGCAAAAACUGCCAUAAGAAAAG
Molecule: long non-coding RNA, 2400 nt
Organism: Meleagris gallopavo (turkey)
Lineage: Eukaryota; Metazoa; Chordata; Aves; Galliformes; Phasianidae
Source: Ensembl